CUCGCUUAAACCUUGAACCAGAACUGUCAGUUCUAAAAUGGAACCAGCCCGGGCCAGCUCUUACAUGCUCAUGGCUCUUGAUGACACUUCUGAUUCACCUUCUUGCAAAUCUGCAUCAGCAGCCUCAGCAUUUUCCGUUGAUUCCUUCAGCUUAUAUUCUGCAAGGUAACGCUCCAAUGCACCAUCUCCACGAAGAAUUUUUCCGCCACAUCCAGGAGCAUUUACAGAACCUACAGAUUCAUCAUCAACUACAACAGCAUCUACUCUAUUACUACCUGUUUUCAAAUCAGGAAUCUCAUACAUGGCUUCAGUUAGGAUACUCUCUAGUAUGGCUCUUAAAC
This 341-nucleotide unclassified non-coding RNA is filed under the name Hevea brasiliensis (rubber tree). Lineage: Eukaryota; Viridiplantae; Streptophyta; Magnoliopsida; Malpighiales; Euphorbiaceae. The record is from RNAcentral.